UUCUCAUUUAAAGAGACAAAACAAUUUUGUUCUCUACCUAAUUUGGGCCAUCAUGCAAUAACCACAACUUUUUGGGCUAUAAAGCAAUUAACCUCAACUUUUGGGCUAUAUUGCAAAACUUUUGGGGUCACUUUGUAAAAACACAAAAGUCCACUACUUCAUGUAAUUACAACUAGAACCCAAAAUUUUAAUAAUGCAAAAACUUCAUUAAAGGAUCAAAACAAUUUGUCCUUUAGCGUUUUUGGACCUAAACGUAAAAACGUAAACUUUUGGGUCAAAGUGCAAAUACACAAAAGUAUCAAAACUUUAUGUAAUUGCAUAAAAGCCCCAAAAGUACCCUAUAAUGUAGGGUGGCUGGUUUUCGAGAGGAGUGUGAGUGAUGUGUGUGUUGAUUUGUGAGUUUUGACAUAAAGCAUGCAAGUGCACAAGUGGUGUGUGUGAAAGGGAAUUAAUCCUUUCACACCCACCAUUAUUUCUUACACCAUUUAAACAAAUAUCUAAAACAUUUAAACAUUUGAAAAAACAUAAAACAUAAACUUUAUGAAAUAAAUCAAAACUUUGAAUCAAAACACAAAACUUUUUGUUCUUGGCAAAAAUGUCAAGAACAAUGAAGAACAUUCAUGAAAAACUCAAAAAAUUUCCAUGAACAUUUUUCACCCAAAAACAUCUCAAAACCAUUCAAACUUUAGGGAAAUAACAUAUAACCAAACUAGGAUACAUAGGGGUUCCAAAAGUCACUUAAAACACUUUUAACAAGUCAAACAAGAACCAAAAAAUCCACCCUUUGGAUAUGGCCGAAUUUCCCCAAAAUCAUGGCACCAAAUUUUAGCUCCAAUAUUCAUGCUCAUAUGAACUACAUCUACAACAUUUGAGAUGGCAAAUUUUCUAACAAAAUUUACAUUCAAAUAAACAAGAAUAAAGCUUGUAACAUAUUACAACUUUUAAAUCAAAACUAUGAACUACAAAACCCAAAAGGAUUCACCAACUACUAGACCUAGGCUCUGAUACCACUUCAAGGAUGAUUUUGUGAAAAUAUGUUCAUUUGAAUAACAUCUAUAGCCUGCAUUUAACAAUUAAAAGGCGGAAUCAUGCUUACAUGCAUUCAAAAACAAAACAUUACCCAUGAAAUUCAAAGCCUAGUAGAUUGGUGAACCAAGACUCAACUCAAAACAAAGUGAGUUGAGAUAUUAUACCUUUGUAGAUUCCUCUUUGCAUAAGCAAAGGCUAAUCACCCAAAGAGAGGGCCUUCAUUCCUUGCAUCUUAGAUCUAUGGAUUUUUGGAUGGAUGAAAUGGUUCUCCAAGUUCUCAAAAUAGAGAACCUCUAAGUCUCCACACCAAGGUUAGAUUUAAGUAGAAAUGAGUGACCUUGGAGGAGUAGGAUUGCUAGAUACACCCUCCAAGGGGGCCGGCCUCCUAGAGAGAAAAGGAGAGACAUGUUCUCUCUAAUUUCUCCAAAAGAACCCAUUAUGAAUUUUAGGCUAUAAAGUUCUUUAUAUAGUCACUUCUUUAAAUGACCUAAAGAACCAAAAAACCCUAAUUCAACACACAUGGCCGGCCAUAUAAGGGAUUUGGGCUUUUGGGCCUUUGUGAAUCUUUUAUUCAUUAAAUUGUCAUACAACUUAAGUCAAUGGGCUUGACGUUCGAAGCCCAUUGGGCCUUAAGGUCCAAAACUAUCCCGAGGUCUUUAACGAACUUAUUCGUUUGAUUAAUUAACAUAUUAAUUAAUCCUUGCCAUAAAUAAUUAAACCAUUUAAUUAUUCUUACUCAUCUCCAUUGUUUCUUCAAUCUCCAUCUUACACGGUGUACGAUCCAUUAGGUUCUUUUUAGCGAGCAGUGGGCGAUUAAAACUCUUUAAAAUCGAUUGUGAAUUGAAACUUACUUUCAAUUCUCCCUUUAGUGUUUAUACACGUUUAGGGCUUCCACAAACCAAGAGUGACACCUAGCAGCAUAUCAUGGUUACCCAAACUAAUCAGAAGAGGUAGAGAACCUAUUCAGUUUAGGAUUACAAAUGCAAUACGGUCUUUCUCUAAUACAAUACUCUUGACCACAUUGUUUGGUUUGAUAGUUUAUUCAUGUCUACAAUCCAAUGUGAUUCGUGCGCUUAUAUGAUUGCCUUGAAUGUGAUUUGGAACGACUUUCCUAAAUCUCAUUCAUACUCUGGCCAAAGAUUCUAAAUCAUAUCAUAGAGUAUUCUCCCCCAAAGGGUUUGAAGGUUAGAGAUCCCUUGUUGCGCAUUUACUUGCCUCCAUAGCUAAGUGGCUUAACCCCAACGAUGCCGUGGACACCCGCAGAUGGGGUGACUUUGACAUAAUCAAAGAUCAAGGACUUAACCCCAAGACAAACGUGAUGUCUCAGGUCAAAGGACUACUUUGCAUUAUCCCAACCAUGAGUUCUCAUGUGACAUGAAUAUGAGAACUCUUCGUUGAUCGUGUUCAGUGAACUCAUUCUCUAUUGAGCACCUACGUACUUGUCUUGAUGUCACACACACCAAUGACUCGAGACUAGUCACUCUCCCUGAGAGAAGACACAGCACGUACUGAUCUUAACGAACUGUCAAUGCCCAAUUGGCAAUCCUAUGAUCAGGAACGUUUAGGGUGUGUCUUCGAAAGAAUGGUCUCAUGAAUCUAACUUCUUUAGAUUGCAUUCUCCCAAUCACAUAUUCCUUGGACUUAUCGUUUAAACAUAUAACAUUUAUAUGAGACGGCUCAAACAAUAAUCUUUGCCCUUUAUAAUUUAAACUAGAUUAGUUUAACAUGUGAAAUGUCCGUAAAGUAUCAUCAUAUGAUUGGCUUUAGGGCACAUUUCCAACAUGCAUAUAUUUACUUAAUUUAUUUACCAUCGAAUGAUCAAGUAUGCAACCAAAAAGAAAAUAUUAUAUUCAUCAUAUUUGAUCAUUAGAUGGUGAAUGUAUUAAAUACAUGCAUUUACCGUAUCAAGUUCGUUAAGACUUGAUAGGAUAAUAGAAAGUAGUCCUCUUCCGAAAGCCUUUGUGCGGUGCACUUGUCAUAAUAUAAAUGGAUAUAAGUUUUUUUUUCAAGUUUUCCUCCACCUGUAUUACGACAUGUGGUGUACCAGUGUAACCAACCUGUGUCCUGGAUACACUGAAUGUCACAGCCCGUCCCGGAGGUACUUUUGGCGGGAAUGUGAAAGGACAAAAAUGCCCUUGU
Molecule: long non-coding RNA, 3168 nt
Filed under: Malus domestica (apple)
Lineage: Eukaryota; Viridiplantae; Streptophyta; Magnoliopsida; Rosales; Rosaceae
Description: long non-coding RNA (MDOM_LNC020844)
Source: RNAcentral